ACCCAGCCGACUCAGUCAGUAGAGCAUGCGACUCCUGAUCUCAGGGUUGUGAGUUUGAGUCCCACGUUGGGUG
RNAcentral lists this transfer RNA (73 nucleotides) under Ailuropoda melanoleuca (giant panda). It matches the Rfam family "tRNA". From Rfam's summary of the family: Transfer RNA (tRNA) molecules are approximately 80 nucleotides in length. Their secondary structure includes four short double-helical elements and three loops (D, anti-codon, and T loops). Lineage: Eukaryota; Metazoa; Chordata; Mammalia; Carnivora; Ursidae. The record is from Rfam by way of RNAcentral.